CAUCUUCAAUCUAGAUAAGGCCUUAACCUGAACGCCAAAGGUCCCAAACCUUUCAUAUUGAAACUUGUGUGAUACAAAACAACAGGAUGACACGUGUAACAAUCUGCUUAUUAGCUAUUUUCCUGGUACAAAUAGUAUCUUCGGCGAAUAUCCAUAUGUGUAAUGACUUGGAUGUAUCGGCUUGUCGCUUGCCCUGCCCGUAUGGCACAAUGAAUGAUUGCCAGUCUGGGAUAUGCACGUGUAAACUGACAGGCGCGCUAUGUACCAACAGAGAAGGGUGUUUGAAGGCCUGUGGACAUCGCCAUGCUGAAUGCUACGGAAACACAUGUCACUGUAUAUAGACAGCUUCAGUUUUACAUCAAAUUAGAUAUUGCAUUUCACUAUGAUAUUAUACAUUAGGAAUGACUCAUGAUUAAAACCAUCCAUACAAUCAA
Pecten maximus is the source of this 434-nucleotide long non-coding RNA. RefSeq lists it as uncharacterized. The record is from RefSeq and is a predicted model, not a curated record. The transcript is spliced from 3 exons. NCBI's taxonomy places the organism in Eukaryota, Metazoa, Mollusca, Bivalvia, Pectinida, Pectinidae.